UUUCCAUAAAGAAAAUUCCAAUUCGGUGGCUUUCUAAGAAGUCUGCUGUGAGAGCUCAAUCAAUCCCGCAAUUUAAAUUUCUACAACUUCGGGAAAAUCAGCUUUGUUUUUUCAUUUUUUGGUGUCAAGCAUGGAAGAUCGUAAGGAGAAAAAUGGAGCAUGGCUAUCAGUGCCACAAUUUGGGGACUGGGAGCAGAAAGGGCAGGUGCCGGAUUACUCGCUUGACUUCUCAAAAGAUAAGGGAAACGAGGAAGCAAAACAAGAGGGAAGUUUCAAGAGCCAGUCUUGGAAACGAAGAAGAAUUUAUUAACCCCACUGCCACCGCUGCCCUACCGCCCAUGAUCCUCACCAUUACCCUCCUCAAACCAUCACACCCCUACUACGAAGAGGGGUAUCUUCAGCUGCUUCAACUGCUGCAUCAAGGCUUGGGUCUGAUGAAAUCGAA
This is a long non-coding RNA of Hibiscus syriacus, 445 nucleotides long. RefSeq lists it as uncharacterized. The transcript is spliced from 3 exons. Lineage: Eukaryota; Viridiplantae; Streptophyta; Magnoliopsida; Malvales; Malvaceae. The record is from RefSeq and is a predicted model, not a curated record.